CUCAGUAGUAGCAGCUUCCCUGAAGUUCAGGUGCAGAGAACCAGGGACAGGCAAGGAGGGGUCCAGGUUUGGAUGGGGCAGGGGGUGCAGGUGGCCUGAGCCUGGGAGCCCUGCUGGCUGGGAGGCCAAGCUCCGGGAUUGCUCAGUGGCUUCUGCUAUACUCCAGCCUCCCCAAGCUGCAGUCAGCUCUGUGGCAGAUCACUGAGUUGAGACAAAAAGAGGGGUUUUAGGGUCAGGGAUGGCAGCUUGGGCGCCAUGGAUUGGGGCUGGGGCUCUGCCAGUGGGCUACUAUCUCCUCCCCAGUUCCUGGAGCCUCUUAAUGUUUUUUUUUUUUAAUGAGGAGCUGCUGGCUUGUAAAAUCAUAUUCCCCUCUCUCAAGGAAGAAUUUUAUUUCUAAUAUGGUUUGAAGCAAGCAAGGGGUAUAAUUAUUGGAAAAUUUUAAAAUUGGUUACAGCAUGCAUAUUUUGGUAGUAACACACCAUUUGGGGAGAAUGAAUGAAUGUACUGCAGAUAUUCAGUUAGUGUGAAGUAGUACUCGAACCCCAGUUCCUUACUUAAUUACAGGAUUUAAUUCUGAAUUCCAAACACCAUGACUUUGGGAAGAAUCUUCCAUUUCUAUAGCAUGUAAGGUUCAACUCUACAAGUUUUCUCAGUGAUAUUUCUUCAGAUUUACUCUAUGUUUUAGAAUCCUUUUACCUUAUUUAAAAGAAAGAAAGAAUAGUUACCUGGAGAAAAUAUAAAGAUAAUGCAAAAUGACACUCAUUAGCCAGUGGCUUACAGUAUGCUUGUCAUAUGCCUUCCUUCACAUUUAAAUACUGAACAUUCUUUCCUUCUUCCUUUUAUUAUGAACAUAUACAAAGUUUGCAUUUUGAAUGAGCCAUGUCAUAUUACCCUGGUAAUGAAAUAAAUUUACCUUAAUGCAAAAUACUUCUUUAGAAUUCUCUUAUGGUACAGUGAGUUAAGGAUAUGGCACUGUCACUGCAGUGCCUUAGGUCACUGCUGUGGCAGCAGUUUUAUCCCUGGCCCAGGAAUUUGCACAUGUCAUGGGUGCAGCCAAAACAAAAACAAAAAUAAAAACAAAAAGAACUAAAAACCCCAGCAAAACCCCAAAACCUCUUUUUCCCCUUUUAAUGAGAUCAAAUCUAGUUUCAUGUAUAUUAAUGACAAAUGAUGUUUGAUAUAUAUCAUAGAGUAGCCAUUAAAAACCAAGACUCCUUUGAGGUACUAAUUAAAAAUAUUGAAAGAUUCAUUCUCUUCUCUUCCACUUUGGAAGUGUGUGGAACACUUUUGACAAGUUGGUUCUUUGCAGCUUUUUUUUUUCUUUUAGGGCCAUACCUGCAGAAUGUGGAGGUUCUCAGGUUAGAGGCUGAUUCAGAGAUAGAGCCACCAGCCUCCCACAGCCACAUCCAAUGGGAUCAGACCCAUGCCCUCAUGGAUAGUAGUCAGGUUCAUUUCCACUGAGCCCCAACAGGAACUCCCUUUGGCAGCUUUCUAUGAGCAUCUAAGCAGCCCACAGCACAGAGGCCAUCUCUUGGGCUUUCAUCUUCCAGACAGAUGGAAGAGGCCCCCUGGAGUCGUUUCCUGGGUAUUGCAGCAUUAGAGCCAUGCCAACAUUCCCAUUCAUCUAUCUCCUUUUUAUACACAACAUCCCAAGAAUCCAGGUGGAAGAGUUACCUCUUUGCCCCUUUGUUUAGAUGUGGAUUGUGGUUAAUUGUGUAAUUCUCAAGUAGGAAAUGUUAUACAUUGUAUUGAAAACAAUCCAGUGGUAUAAAUCCAAAAUUAAAUCAUUAUUACUGUUUAUGUGCUAUCCUUGUGGAGCACCUAAAGAAAAUAUUCUCCUUCAUCAUCUAAAACAAAAAUUUUCACUGUGUCUUUUGAUCAGAAUCCAUAACCAUGGAAUUCUUAGACUAAUUCUCUUCUAACCCAAAAUAAGGCAACCAUUCUUCUUUAAUAGAACUGUUCCUGUGUUUCAUGGGUGGUUUGGAAUAACAAUUUUCUUCAGUAGUGGCAGUAGUCAGACAGCAUAUUAAUAUUUAAUAUUUCUUUUACUUUGCCAAAUCCUGAGGACAAGCUGAGAAGAAAAAUUGCCCAGCAGGCAUUAGGGAGGUGAGAGUAAUCGUAUCAUCUCUUUCUGGGGGGCCCAGACAUAAAUUUAGUCUUCCAAGGAAACAAACUUCCAUGGGUAGAUUUAUGAUAGAAGUUUGUGAAUAGCUUAAAAGCAUCAGGAAAUUAUUUCCUUAUAACGUACUCCUUAAUGCAGUGUACAAUCUGAGCAUUUCUGAAGUAGUCAGGACCUUUUAUAAGUGACCCAGUGAAAGUGAUGUAGCAAAACCCAGCAUCUCAGGGUGUUACCACUGUAAAUUAGUCUCCCCCCCCGCCCCUGGGAGAUUGACCAGCAUUUCAUCAUUAACACUGAGAAAAUUUGCAGAGUGAUGACAAAUAAUUUUAUUUAUUUAUUUUUAUUUUUUUAUUAUAGUUGAUUUACAGUAUUGUGUCAACUUCUGUCGUACAGCACAAUGACCUAGUCAUCUAUCUAUCAUCUAUCAUCUACACAUAUAUAUACAUUCUUUUUCUCCUAUUCCAUCAUAUUCUAUCCCAAGAGGUUGGAUAUAGUUCCCUGUGCUAUACAGUAGGACCUCGUUGUUGAUCCACUUGGAGUGCAGUAGUUUGUAUCUACUAACCCCAAACUCCCCAUCCAUCCCACUACCUUCCCCAUGCUCUUGGCAACCACAAGUAACUUCUCCAUGUCUAGGCAUAAAAUUUCUUUUAGGUUUAAUAUUGGGAAAUUGAAGAUGAAAACAAUAGAUAAUUUAUAGAAUCUUUCUAUUGAAGAAACUGGAAGAUUAUAAAAUUGCCUUUAGGAGUUCCCAUCGUGGUUCAGUGGCUAACGAACCUGACUAGUAUCCACAAGGACCCAGGUUUGAUCCCUGGCCUCACCCAGUGGGUUAAAGAUCCAGCACUGCGUGAGCUGUGAUAUAGGUCACAGACUCACCUGGGAUCCCAUGUAGCUGUGGCUGCAGCCAGCAGCUACAGCUCUGCAGGUGCAGCCCUGAAAAGGAAGGAGGGAAGGAGGGAGAAAGAAAG
This 3084-nucleotide long non-coding RNA is filed under the name Sus scrofa (pig). RNAcentral's name for it is "lncRNA (ENSSSCG00030003788.1)". The record is from RNAcentral. Lineage: Eukaryota; Metazoa; Chordata; Mammalia; Artiodactyla; Suidae.